This 1347-nucleotide ribosomal RNA is filed under the name uncultured bacterium. RNAcentral describes it as "partial 16S ribosomal RNA". It matches the Rfam family "Bacterial small subunit ribosomal RNA", at positions 28 to 1381 of the family's 1533-position model. The record is from RNAcentral.
GACGAACGCUGGCGGCGCGCUUAACACAUGCAAGUCGAACGGAAAGGCCCUGCUUUUGUGGGGUGCUCGAGUGGCGAACGGGUGAGUAACACGUGAGUAACCUGCCCUUGACUUUGGGAUAACUUCAGGAAACUGGGGCUAAUACCGGAUAGGAGCUCCUGCUGCAUGGUGGGGGUUGGAAAGUUUCGGCGGUUGGGGAUGGACUCGCGGCUUAUCAGCUUGUUGGUGGGGUAGUGGCUUACCAAGGCUUUGACGGGUAGCCGGCCUGAGAGGGUGUCCGGCCACAUUGGGACUGAGAUACGGCCCAGACUCCUACGGGAGGCAGCAGUGGGGAAUAUUGCACAAUGGGCGGAAGCCUGAUGCAGCAACGCCGCGUGCGGGAUGACGGCCUUCGGGUUGUAAACCGCUUUCGCCUGUGACGAAGCGUGAGUGACGGUAAUGGGUAAAGAAGCACCGGCUAACUACGUGCCAGCAGCCGCGGUGAUACGUAGGGUGCGAGCGUUGUCCGGAUUUAUUGGGCGUAAAGGGCUCGUAGGUGGUUGAUCGCGUCGGAAGUGUAAUCUUGGGGCUUAACCCUGAGCGUGCUUUCGAUACGGGUUGACUUGAGGAAGGUAGGGGAGAAUGGAAUUCCUGGUGGAGCGGUGGAAUGCGCAGAUAUCAGGAGGAACACCAGUGGCGAAGGCGGUUCUCUGGGCCUUUCCUGACGCUGAGGAGCGAAAGCGUGGGGAGCGAACAGGCUUAGAUACCCUGGUAGUCCACGCUGUAAACGGUGGGUACUAGGUGUGGGGUCCAUUCCACGGGUUCCGUGCCGUAGCUAACGCUUUAAGUACCCCGCCUGGGGAGUACGGCCGCAAGGCUAAAACUCAAAGGAAUUGACGGGGCCCCGCACAAGCGGCGGAGCAUGCGGAUUAAUUCGAUGCAACGCGUAGAACCUUACCUGGGUUUGACAUGGAUCGGGAGUGCUCAGAGAUGGGUGUGCCUCUUUUGGGGUCGGUUCACAGGUGGUGCAUGGCUGUCGUCAGCUCGUGUCGUGGGAUGUUGGGUUAAGUCCCGCAACGAGCGCAACCCUUGUUCACUGUUGCCAGCACGUUAUGGUGGGGACUCAGUGGAGACCGCCGGGGUCAACUCGGAGGAAGGUGGGGAUGACGUCAAGUCAUCAUGCCCCUUAUGUCCAGGGCUUCACGCAUGCUACAAUGGCUGGUACAGAGAGUGGCGAGCCUGUGAGGGUGAGCGAAUCUCGGAAAGCCGGUCUCAGUUCGGAUUGGGGUCUGCAACUCGACCUCAUGAAGUCGGAGUCGCUAGUAAUCGCAGAUCAGCAACGCUGCGGUGAAUACAACGCGCGGGGCU